GUUUUUCGCUCUAAGAUGAGCUCGCGUGAGAUUAGCUAGUUGGUGAGGUAAUGGCUCACCAAGGCGACGAUCUCUAACAGGUCUGAGAGGAUGAUCUGUCACACUGGAACUGAGACACGGUCCAGACUCCUACGGGAGGCAGCAGUAGGGAAUAUUGCACAAUGGAGGAAACUCUGAUGCAGCGACGCCGCGUGAGUGAUGAAGGACUUCGGUUCGUAAAGCUCUGUCGUAUGGGAAUAAGAAAGUG
Molecule: ribosomal RNA, 247 nt
Filed under: uncultured Bdellovibrio sp.
Lineage: Bacteria; Pseudomonadati; Bdellovibrionota; Bdellovibrionia; Bdellovibrionales; Pseudobdellovibrionaceae
Description: partial 16S ribosomal RNA
Rfam family: Bacterial small subunit ribosomal RNA
Source: RNAcentral